GGAUGUGAGGGCAAUCUGGCUGCGACAUCUGUCACCCCAUUGAUCGCCAGGGUUGAUUCGGCUGAUCUGGCUGGCUAGGCGGGUGUUCCCAUCCUCCCUCACUGCUCCAUGUGCAUCCCUCCCGAAGCUGAGCACUCAGUCGAAGAGGACGACCAGCCCCGAUAGAGGAGGACCGGUUUUCGGUCAAGGGUAUAAGAGUACCUGCGCUACUCUGCUAGAACCUCCAAACAAGCUCUCAGAAGGCUAAAUCUGAGGAACUUGGUUCAAAGGCAGACUGAGAAGACAAAUCCAAGAGAUUCGUAUCUCCAAUU
Unclassified non-coding RNA from Dipodomys ordii (Ord's kangaroo rat), 311 nucleotides. Its record names the gene 7SK. It matches the Rfam family "7SK RNA". From Rfam's summary of the family: 7SK was discovered as an abundant small nuclear RNA in the mid-70s but a possible function has only recently been suggested. Two independent studies have found that 7SK RNA binds the CDK9/cyclin T complex (known as elongation factor P-TEFb). Lineage: Eukaryota; Metazoa; Chordata; Mammalia; Rodentia; Heteromyidae. The record is from Ensembl.